CAAGAUUUCCCAAAUUCUUACUUAAUUAACUUCCACCAAUAAUUGAUGCAAAAAAAAGAGUGACAAAAUUGGAAGUGUGUUUGCACAAGAAACAGAUAUCAAACAUGUGAAACUGAAAUGGGUUCUAUGAAUUUGACAAAUUCUGCAUAAACGGGAAGAAUUACAAGUAGCAGAAGCUACUGCAACAGAAUUGAAGACUUACCCAUGAAGCAGAAAGAGAGAUGGAAGUGAAAGAAAGAAGCAUUUCACCAAUAGGUAAAGCUGUAUGGCCUGCCCUCAAACACAAAACGGGGUUUGCG
This 299-nucleotide long non-coding RNA is filed under the name Panax ginseng (ginseng). Its description in RNAcentral is "long non-coding RNA (PGIN_LNC019206)". The record is from RNAcentral. Lineage: Eukaryota; Viridiplantae; Streptophyta; Magnoliopsida; Apiales; Araliaceae.